RNAcentral lists this ribosomal RNA (709 nucleotides) under uncultured bacterium. RNAcentral's name for it is "bacterial SSU rRNA". It matches the Rfam family "Bacterial small subunit ribosomal RNA", at positions 61 to 806 of the family's 1533-position model. The record is from RNAcentral.
GUCGCUUUGGCAGCUUCGGCUGUCAGUGGCGGUUUGGUGAGUAUUUCGUGGGAAUCUGUCUCCGGGUGGGGGAUAUUUGUUGGAAUUUACUGCUAAUACCGCAUGAAGCCCGAGGGCCAAAGCAGCAAUGCGCCUGGAGAGGAGCCCGCGUUCGAUUAGCUUGUUGGCGGGGUAAAGGCCCACCAAGGCGAUGAUCGAUAGCUGGUCUGAGAGGAUGAUCAGCCACACUGGGACUGAGAUUGAGAUGCCCAGACUCCUUUUGGAGGCAGCAGUGGGGAAUAUUGGACAAUGGGCGCAAGCCUGAUCCAGCAAUGCCGCGUGAGUGAAGAAGGUCUUCGGAUUGUAAAGCUCCUCCGUUUGGGUUUAUGAUGUUUGUACCCGUAGAAGAAGCCCCGGCUAAUUGAGACGUGCCAGCAGCCGCGGUAAUUUUAAGGGGGCUAGCGUUGCUCGGAAUGACUGGGCGUAAAGGGCGCGUAGGCGGUCUGUACAGUCAGUUUUGAAAUUCCCGGGCUCAACCUGGGGGCUGCGCUCGAUUUUUGCGGGCUGGAGUUCGGAAGAGGGUCGUGGAAUUCCCAGUGUAGAGGUGAAAUUCGUAGAUAUUGGGAAGAACACCGGUGGCGAAGGCGGCGACCUGGUCCGAUACUGUUUCUGAGGCGCGAAAGCGUGGGGAGCAAACAGGAUUAGAUACCCUGGUAGUCCACGCCGUAAU